CCUCCAAACUGAGGCAGAACUGCAAACAUUCAGACCCAACUAAAAUGACAUUUGGUAGAGUCAAUCAAUACUCUCCAAGUUAUUUCCCCAAAUAGCCACACGUUUGGCUUAAAAGCACUUGGCUGGCUGCCCUUUAAAAACAUCCCGCAGCAGAAUUGCCAGGUCAGAGCCUGAAGCAAUUGCUGAGCACCAGGUGAGAAGGAGUGGAUAACCAAGGGAGCUCAGGUGCAAGCCAUGCACCUGCUUGACUGAAAGGGGUGGAGCCUGGAUCUACCCCUCCUCAUCCUCAUUUAAGAGAUAGCAGCCAAGGGAGCAGUAUCUCUUUGGAUAGAGACUGUGCUCCUGUUGAGCUAUCACUGGUCAUUGGAAGAGCUGCCUCCACUCCACAGCUCUAAGCGUCAGCGGCAAUGAGAAGCCUGUUUUUAUCACUAAAGCACACAAACAGUAAGCUGAGGACACUCGAGCACUGCCCUGGCGACUCACGUUGGUGACUCAGGACCAGUUGGUCUCACAGAGUUAACUCUCAAUUCAAUACAAAUCCCGUCUCUGACUAAAGCUCCAGGCAAAGUUUUCAACUCUACGGAGCGACGUUUUUCAGUCGGAGGAGGCAAGUCAUCCAGCAGCACAGCUUCAGCUUCUGUGGCCUUCCACGCUUGCUCUUCACCCUUGCGUUGCAACAGGACUUUGCACUGACUAUACUAAAACCAAGACAGCAGAUGUGAAAACCACGACAGCGUCAGGCUUCCGUACUUGGGUUCACUUUCCUAUGAAAGCAGAGGCACCAUUUUUACAGGCUCAUUUCUCAGAGUGGCAAAUUGCUGCGCUUUCACUUUUUGUCCAAGCUCCCUCCACCCUCCCCGAUGUCUUCAAACCCAGUGUCUCCACUCACCUGUGUCACCCCAAGUUCCUCACUGUCUCCAAACACCCACAGCUGAUGAGUCUCUCUUCCAGCUCUUUGUGCACUGGGUGAAAAAGCUAUCAUGCUCUACCACUCCUGUUACCACUUGUCGUCCAACCACUUACAUAAGCCCAUGACCUCUGAAAUAAAAGCAUUUGCUUGCACUUGGGUAGAGCUGGUUGGUUGGAAGAGAAAUCGGAGAGGAAAAUGAUUUAAAAAACAGUCACAGAAGCAAGUUUCCAGAAUAUGUAUUUUUGGUUUUCCUUUCAACUUUGCUAUUUCCUCUAGUCCACCACUGCUCACCAUCAAAGAAAAAAAGUUUCAACCAGCAAAGUCAAUUUGUUUAACAUUUCCACAUAACCUCCAGCAAAUGGGAGCAUCCUGUAGCACACGGAGUCACUGAAAGCCUUGCUAAGCACAGAUCAAAAGGAUGCAAGGAACUGGAAAAGAACAUUCACCUUAGGUUGUAAACAUUCAUUUAUAUUUAUACUAAACAUAUAAAUAGGUCUAGAGAGCCUGGUAUUUCUAACAUGCCAACUAUCUCUGUACUCUGGUGCCCUGCUCAUUAACAAAAACAGCUUCACUUUUGACCGAGAAAGUCAUGUUGCACGGUGCUUUCUCAAAAUGAGUUCAUUAUUUUGUGCAAAGGAAGGGAUGUUUUAAUCCCCCUUCAAUAACGCUGUUGGAUAGGACAGCACAUACAUACACGGCACCCACAGGGCAGCUCGUUUCUGUUAGCACAGAGGCAUCUGUGGAGGUCUGCGGAGGCAGUGGGGCUGAUGGGCACGGAUAUGCACACUGCAAACGUCAGAGCUGGGUUAGUAAUUUAAAUAACAAUAAACAGUAAAAUAAAUAUUUUCAAAGCUAAAUAACAAUCAAAACACAGAACAGGUUUUCCCAGCCCCUCUAAUUUGGACGCAAGGCGGUUCAAUAAGCUCAACCAUUCCCACGAGCACCCCUGGCUGCAGGCAUCACACUGUCAAAUCAGGUGCUAAAACACACCUGGACAGAAGUGUGCACAAGGUGGGCUGACGCUUUUCUCCAGAACAGCUUUGGAGGAGCUGUACAACAGAGGUCAUGCCUCCAGCACCAAAGUACACUUAAUAUUUAUCCCACCGCAAGGGUCAUUUUGUGAAAGGAGAGCAUACUUCUGCACACAUCAAGCUUGCCCCCGAGUUAGAGCAGCCUCUGGACCUGCACCCAGCACUUUGGUGGUGGUCCUCUUUCACAUGCCUGUCACGUGGGAGAGGCUGCCUUUGGAAAACAUGCUCUGAGACUCAGUUGCCCUUGCAAGCUUACGGGUUCCGGAGCAAAGCACACACAGUGGCUGCAUCCCAUCAGACACGCAAGGGGUAAAAAGUCAGUGCCUGAAGGCUGCAGGUCUGCAUUUCCUUGUGCUUCCUCCCCACAGCGUUAGUUCAAAGGAUGUGAUGCGACCACAGGAGUGCAGAGCAUCUCCCCAGCAGGUGGGUGACAACAGCUGGGCUGUGCCCUGGGGAGGGGAGCCCACACUUAGGCCUGCCACAUCCCACCCAACCCAUCUACCUCCGACGUGCCGCCGGGUGAGCGCACCAGUGCCAUCUGUUAGGAAAGCGUCACCUCAGUCUGCAAUGGGAAUGCCCACCUCAAAAUCCAUCCGGAAGAAGGUGGGGUUUGAGAAACACUCUCCUUUCCCCGACGUUUCCUAUCCUUUGCUCAGCACUGCCUGCUCGGAUGGCUGCCCACGCAGCACCAGGAUGCUGCAGUGCUCCAGGGACAUUGGGGCCUUACAGGCGAGGUUUGGUGGUGCCCAGGGCCAUCGCAGGCCAAACCUUCACAAACCAAACUCUCACAGAGCUCUGCUCUAAAGCCACUCAAUGCUCAGAAGAUCAGCUUUGAGCGGAAUGCAGAUGCAUGUCCACAGCUUCCUCCAGUAAUAACCUUAGAUUUCCCUCUGUGGCCAAAUAAUCCAUUUUGUUGAUCAAAUUAGCAAACUUUUGCUCGAAUCACAGGGGACGUGACGCUAUUUGUGACAGCUUGGGAAGGCUGUAAAUCAUCCACAGACUGUACCGGGAAUAUCACACAAGUCAUUGUAACGCUUUAUGGAGCGCACGUUGCUAUCUCGCACGAACCAUAUGUUGUGGUGUUUGUGUUAUCCAACCCUUACAUAAGCCGUUGAUGAAAUUACCAUCACAACACAACAGCGCCGAUGGGACGGAGAAGGGAAGCCGGGCGGCCGCCGCUUCGGGAUGGUGGGGAAGGCGCACCUCGCGGGGCUGGGGAUGAGAGGGCGAGCGGGACGCAGCGCGUUCACUCCAAAGAGCGGGGCUGGGGAUGGAGCUGAGCGGUCGGGAAGCCUACGGGAUGUUGCAGGAGGGAGCCGAGCGCUCCGGUGCGCUCCGGGCCGCUCCAGGACCCGCAGCGGUAGCGGUGCCAGCCCGGCGGGCCACGUGCCGCGCACCGCGGGCACAGACUCCACCUCCCCCG
This is a long non-coding RNA of Gallus gallus (chicken), 3364 nucleotides long. The record is from Ensembl. Lineage: Eukaryota; Metazoa; Chordata; Aves; Galliformes; Phasianidae.